GAUGAACGCUGGCGGCGUGCCUAAUACAUGCAAGUCGAGCGAACAGACGAGAGUGCUUGCACUCUCUGACGUUAGCGGCGGACGGGUGAGUAACACGUGGGUAACCUACCUAUAAGACUGGGAUAACUUCGGGAAACCGGAGCUAAUACCGGAUAAUAUUUAGCUUCGCAUGACGCAAUAGUGAAAGACGGUUCUGCUGUCACUUAUAGAUGGACCCGCGGUGUAUUAGCUAGUUGGUGAGGUAACGGCUCACCAAGGCAACGAUACAUAGCCGACCUGAGAGGGUGAUCUGCCACACUGGGACUGAGACACGGCCCAGACUCCUACGGGAGGCAGCAGUAGGGAAUCUUCCGCAAUGGACGAAAGUCUGACGGAGCAAUGCCGCGUGAGUGAAGAAGGUUUUCGGAUCGUAAAACUCUGUUGUAAGGGAAGAACAAGUACGUUAGUAACUGAACGUACCUUGACGGUACCUUACCAGAAAGCCACGGCUAACUACGUG
RNAcentral lists this ribosomal RNA (499 nucleotides) under uncultured bacterium. RNAcentral describes it as "partial 16S ribosomal RNA". It matches the Rfam family "Bacterial small subunit ribosomal RNA", at positions 28 to 507 of the family's 1533-position model. The record is from RNAcentral.